This 466-nucleotide ribosomal RNA is filed under the name Vreelandella stevensii. RNAcentral's name for it is "partial 16S ribosomal RNA". It matches the Rfam family "Bacterial small subunit ribosomal RNA", at positions 338 to 795 of the family's 1533-position model. Lineage: Bacteria; Pseudomonadati; Pseudomonadota; Gammaproteobacteria; Oceanospirillales; Halomonadaceae. The record is from RNAcentral.
CCUACGGGCGGCAGCAGUGGGGAAUAUUGGACAAUGGGCGAAAGCCUGAUCCAGCCAUGCCGCGUGUGUGAAGAAGGCCUUCGGGUUGUAAAGCACUUUCAGUGGGGAAGAAAGCCUUGGGGCUAAUACCCUCGAGGAAGGACAUCACCCACAGAAGAAGCACCGGCUAACUCCCGUGCCAGCAGCCGCGGUAAUACGGAGGGUGCGAGCGUUAAUCGGAAUUACUGGGCGUAAAGCGCGCGUAGGCGGUCUGAUAAGCCGGUUGUGAAAGCCCCGGGCUCAACCUGGGAACGGCAUCCGGAACUGUCAGGCUAGAGUGCAGGAGAGGAAGGUAGAAUUCCCGGUGUAGCGGUGAAAUGCGUAGAGAUCGGGAGGAAUACCAGUGGCGAAGGCGGCCUUCUGGACUGACACUGACGCUGAGGUGCGAAAGCGUGGGUAGCAAACAGGAUUAGAUACCCUUGUAGUC